AUUGUACAACACAUCCGUACAAAGCUUGGCCAGUAUGACUUGUGUAAAAUAUAUCCUAAUUUGUACGUUAUACAUUCAACUUUUCAGAUACGGGGCAUGCAUACCCUCAUACGUGAUUCACAAACAACGAAGCAUGAUUUUGUAUUUUAUGCUGAUCGGUUGAUUCGUUUGGUCGUUGAGCAUGGUCUGGGACAUCUGCCAUUUACAGAAAAACAAGUGGUCACUCCAACUG
This is a long non-coding RNA of Humulus lupulus (European hop), 232 nucleotides long. RefSeq lists it as uncharacterized. Lineage: Eukaryota; Viridiplantae; Streptophyta; Magnoliopsida; Rosales; Cannabaceae. The record is from RefSeq and is a predicted model, not a curated record. The transcript is spliced from 3 exons.